Molecule: ribosomal RNA, 498 nt
Filed under: uncultured bacterium
Lineage: Bacteria
Description: partial 16S ribosomal RNA
Rfam family: Bacterial small subunit ribosomal RNA
Source: RNAcentral
GACGAACGCUGGCGGCGUGCCUAAUACAUGCAAGUCGAACGAGAGCGCCCGGUGCUUGCACUGGUCAAUCUAGUGGCGCACGGGUGAGUAACACGUGGGUAACCUGCCCAUCAGAGGGGGAUAACAUCCGGAAACGGAUGCUAAAACCGCAUAGGUCUUCGAGCCGCAUGGCUUGAAGAGGAAAAGAGGCGCAAGCUUCUGCUGAUGGAUGUACCCGCGGUGCAUUAGCUAGUUUGUGAGGUAACGGCUCACCAAGGCCGUGAUGCAUAGCCGACCUGAGGGGGGGAUCGGCCACAUUGGGACUGAGACACGGCCCAAACUCCUACGGGAGGCAGCAGUAGGGAAUCUUCCGCAAUGGACGCAAGUCUGACGGAGCAACGCCGCGUGAGUGAAGAAGGUUUUCGGAUCGUAAAACUCUGUUGUUAGAGAAGAACAAGUGCUAGAGUAACUGUUAGCGCCUUGACGGUAUCUAACCAGAAAGCCACGGCUAACUACGUG